Molecule: long non-coding RNA, 157 nt
Organism: Pocillopora damicornis (cauliflower coral)
Lineage: Eukaryota; Metazoa; Cnidaria; Anthozoa; Scleractinia; Pocilloporidae
Source: RefSeq, a predicted model, not a curated record
ACCUCACAGUGCUUUGGAGAACCACCACUAUGAGUGUCUUCAGCUUCAAUAAGAUCGUUCUUUUCGAAGUUAUUCUUCUAAUUGGAUUUGUCCAUGGAGACUGCAACUCACCUCUUGGUUUACAAAGCGAGGAUAUUCCUAAUUCAGACAUCACCGC